This 560-nucleotide unclassified non-coding RNA is filed under the name Hevea brasiliensis (rubber tree). Lineage: Eukaryota; Viridiplantae; Streptophyta; Magnoliopsida; Malpighiales; Euphorbiaceae. The record is from RNAcentral.
UGGAUUUAUGAGCUUUUAACACAUAUAACGACACAACUAUAAAUUCAAACACCAAGAAAAUACGGUGAACUGGACACAUCACGAUAGCAAUUCAAAUUCAAACACCAAUAGAACUUUGCUGCAAGAUGCAGAGGGAUGUUUUCAUCAGUUAAGAGAAUCUACAGAAAACCUCAGCACACAAGUUCAAUUACGGUUUCCAUCCACCAAUGAAUCUAUACAAAAUACACACUCUGUUCAUGCUACGGUAGAUAAACUCAUUUCCAGGUUUCUUUUAAUUCCAGAAAUACUCACUUCUGAUAGCCAGGAGGUGGAUAACCAGAGGCAGGAUAGCCCGUGGGUGGAUAGCCAGCAGGCGGAUAGCCUGGAGCUGGGUAAGCUUGUUGUGGAGGAGCUGGAUAAGCUUGUUGUGGAGGUGGUUGACCAUAAGCUGGAGGAGGAUAUCCAACAGUUGGUGGGUAAGGCUGAUCUAGUCGUGACAUAUGCUGCACGGGUGGCACUGCCAUUGGUUGAGGACCGAACUUGCCAUCUCUCUUGUCCAUUUCAACCUUGUGUUGUGUCUG